CCUACGGGAGGCAGUGAGGAAUAUUGGUCAAUGGACGAGAGUCUGAACCAGCCAAGUAGCGUGAAGGAUGACUGCCCUAUGGGUUGUAAACUUCUUUUAUAUGGGAAUAAAACGUUCCACGUGUGGGAUUUUGUAUGUACCAUAUGAAUAAGGAUCGGCUAACUCCGUGCCAGCAGCCGCGGUAAUACGGAGGAUCCGAGCGUUAUUCGGAUUUAUUGGGUUUAAAGGGAGCGUAGGUGGAUUGUUAAGUCAGUUGUGAAAGUUUGCGGCUCAACCGUAAAAUUGCAGUUGAAACUGGCAGUCGUGAGUACAGUAGAGGUGGGCGGAAUUCGUGGUGUAGCGGUGAAAUGCUUAGAUAUCACGAAGAACUCCGAUUGCGAAGGCAGCCUACUAAACUGCCACUGACAUUGAUGCUCGAAAGUGUGGGUAUCAAACAGGAUUAGAUACCCCGGUAGUC
RNAcentral lists this ribosomal RNA (457 nucleotides) under uncultured bacterium. RNAcentral describes it as "partial 16S ribosomal RNA". It matches the Rfam family "Bacterial small subunit ribosomal RNA", at positions 338 to 795 of the family's 1533-position model. The record is from RNAcentral.